Long non-coding RNA from Marmota monax (woodchuck), 3075 nucleotides. RefSeq lists it as uncharacterized. The record is from RefSeq and is a predicted model, not a curated record. The transcript is spliced from 4 exons. Lineage: Eukaryota; Metazoa; Chordata; Mammalia; Rodentia; Sciuridae.
CACACUCUCUUGAGUUUGGUAUUCUUAUCCUUCUGCUCCAAGUCUAUUUCAAUUUUCAGUGGAUACAAUAAAAUGAAGUUGCCGUUUUGUCAAGAAGUAAGCAGAAAGGCACUCCAAGCUUGAAGGAGAUGAGUGGGAACUUGUACUACAUGGCAUUGCCAUCAACAAGCCACCCCUGCAUGCCCUAGCACAUUCCUCCAAGUGAAGAGCCAGGUGUCCUGAUGUCCUCUUGAACUGCUGAACAGGGGCUAUAUGCCAGGAGCAAGUCUGCACCAUGCUGGUUAUCGGCGGACACAUCUUUCUUUGUAUGUGGUGUUGAGGAUCGAACCCGGGCCGCACGCAUGCCAGUAAGGACAUCCUGAGACAGCCUAGUUGGUACAUCCUCUGCAUACUCUAGCCACAGGGUAUCCAGAAGACUCAAACUUCAUUCUGUUCAACCAUCUGAAUUCUCCCGAGGCUGAGUUCUGUAUCAUAAGAUAAUAACCACUUUUUUGAGUACGCUGCUGAUUCAUUCCUUGAUCCUUUGGUGGCCCUUGUGGGAUAAAGUGGAGUUUUAUAAAAGUUUCUUGCCCCUCUUGUACCUGACCAUUCCAGACAAAAAGCCUUGCAGUAGAGAAUGAUGGGGGAAAGGUGAAGCUAUGAAGUGGGGCAGUUGAUUCUCUGGAGGUAGAGGGAGAACAACUUUGACACCUGGGAGGAGAACAUCCCUGACCCUAGAAGAUACAACAGAAGGAAGAAUGCCAAUGUUCUGUGUCAUUUGAAACUGCUACAGGAGAAAAAAAAAUCAGUUUCCAAAAAGAGGAAAAGCAGAAAACAGACAUCGUGGAAGAAAAAUUUUAAACAGAAGCAGCAAAAAGAAGCAUCCUCUAUAAAGUCAACUGUGUCACACCAUAUAAAUUCCUUGCUGGAUUUAGAGUAGCAGGUACAGACGCAGACUGUAAUGAGAAGAAAGUGUAGGGUUCUCAUGCAUAUAACUCAGAACACAAAACAGAAACUCUGUAGCUGGCACUUAUACCUAUAUUAUGCAAUCAGGAAUAAUAAAUCUCUCUUAAUUUUUUUUAGUUGUAGUUGGACAUAAUACCUUUAUAUUAUUUUAUUUAUUUAUUUUUAUGUGGUGCUAAGGAUCAAACCCGAGCCUCACACGUGCUAGGCGAGCACCUUAAAGCUGAGCCACAACCCUAGACCAUAAAUAUCUUUAAUAAUUAAAAAAAAAAAAUAAGAAAGAAACUGCCCCUACAGCCUUCCUCACCUAGGAAAAUGCUCUGCUAUGUCUCUCCCAAACUGUUGUGACCACUUUAAAUUCACCUGCUGGGUCUGUCAUCCUCCAUCUGCUCACAAUUUGACUUCCUUUCCCCUUAACCUUACUGAAAAAUCUAUCAAAAACUGUACAUAAUGGCCCUGCCUCCAAUGGCUGACCCUUCUAUGCAAAACACCUGUCAAAAACUCCGGAUGUCUUCCCCUUUUCUGAGGCCACCACUCAAGCACUGUCUGAGGGAGGUGAAUGCCUCUCAGCUGGUGGUAUAACAAAACAAGUUAGACAUACCACUUACAAGCAGUAUCUCCAAAUCUAAAGACUAGAAUUAAUUACUUGGACUCACUUAUAAACUCUAAAGUUUUUUGUUGUUAGAGCUUGUUGUUAGGUAAUGUUGGAAGGAUCCUGGAGAGCUCCAAAAAGUCCAAAUGCUAUCUUUUAUAGGGGCAUCAUGCGUGUCCUGGGAUUGUAUUUCUUUUUUGAAAGCAGGCAUUAACUUGCCUCACUCCUCAAAAUAUGCAUCUUAGGCGCAGUUGUAAAAGACUUUCAAAUGUUUAAGGGAAUGCCACCAGUUGAUCAUGUAGCCCUCCAAUGAUUGUGAAGAUGACUUCAAAACAAGGCCAUGCUGGUUAUUCACAGAAGCUUCCUAAAGAUAUAUAAGUCACUCAAUUUUUACACAUACUACUAUGAGAGUCCUCCAAUUAAAAAACAUGUUUUUUUUAAAAUUAAAAAAACAACAUAUUUGUCAUCUGACUUCAACUGAAGUCUUCAUUGUACCUCAGCUGAGGUCACUCAGGUUUGCUUCAAAUCAUGAACAGGGUUCUCAUGGAUGAAAAACUGUCCUUGACUUUCAAUUUACAGGUUAAGACAAACCCUGUGCAAUCAGUAAUACAUUUUAAGCUAUCUGGAUUAAUGCCUUGGGCUAAGUGGAAAGGUCAAUACAGAAAAUUCAAGAGAAAACCAAAGACUCUGUUGGCUUAUUAAAUUUGUGCAACUGAUUGGAUCUGAGAUGCCGGUGGGCAUGGUUGAUGUUAUACUGAAAGUUAUACUUAUCCUGCUGCUUGGAGCCCUGUUGACAGUAACCUAAACUAAAUGUUGUAUGAGAUAAAAUGAAUGGGCUUAGUCCCAAUUUGUCAGUCAAAUUAAUCAAAAGAGCUGACAGCAUGACGUACUCAUGGGAAAAUUCUGCAAAAAUCAAGAUAGUAUAGAAAUGAGGGAUGGAUAAAAUUGAGAGAAAAUUCUCCUUACUACACAUCUUGAAAAGUAAGGCAAUGGCUACUUAUGUUUUGGACUCUAUUCAAGGAUGUUUAUGUAAUGAAUAGCCUUAGGAGACAGAAUAUCUCCAUCUGGAGCAAAGGGCAGACAUGUAUACUACCCAUUAUAAAAGAUUUUGGUUCCUUAACGCUGAGAUCCACUCCUAUGAUGCAACCUACUGAGCAUACAGGUAUUUUCUGUCUCUCUUCAUACUUCCUGUGGUUACUGGAGUUCAGGACACUAACAUAAAAUUGCUGACCAUAUGGUUACUAGAGGCUGCUAAGACAGCAACUUAAUAUUAUGAAAGUUAAAAUGAAGAAAAUUAGUAAUAAAAGCAUUUUCCUACAUUCCCUAAAAACCCUGCAUUAUAUACGAACAAGUAAUUGAUGAAAAAUAGUUCCUUUAUAAAAGAAUUCUGCCAGGUGCAGUGGCCCAUUCCUAUAUUCCCAGCAACUAAGGCAGGAUUUCAAUUCCAAAGCCAGCCUGGACAACUUAGUGAGAUUCUCAAAAAAAAAAAAAAAAAUGAAAAAGGUCUACAGAAGUAGAUCAGUGGUAGAGCACCCAGUACU